Long non-coding RNA from Dermacentor andersoni, 2198 nucleotides. RefSeq lists it as uncharacterized. The record is from RefSeq and is a predicted model, not a curated record. NCBI's taxonomy places the organism in Eukaryota, Metazoa, Arthropoda, Arachnida, Ixodida, Ixodidae.
UACACUCCCAACCAUAGCAAAAGUCACACCUUAAGGCAAAGUGUAAAUAUGAAACGGAGAAGAUAUACCUUGUUUUACAUUUAUAUUCAUGUUUCGUAUAAACACCGCACAGAGGGAAAGAAAGGCGGGCUAGUAAUUUGCUCCGAAUUGGAACAGAAUUCCGACCCGCUUAAAAAGUAGACAAAAAUAAGAGGAGGAGACAAAUAAAGAGAAGAACACAGGAAAGCACACCACAGCACAUCACAUCACAUGCAGUGUACGGACACUGCCGACGAGAGUCUAUUCCUGCAAUUAAGCAAAAGAAGCUACAAACUAAUCAUUCUUAUUUCUUUCCCAAGAAAUUAGGCGCACAUCUGCUCUAUUUUUCGUAAAGCAUGCAGUUGGGGCCCGUGACACAUCGAUGAAAGCGCCACCUAUAAGCUGCACUCGAUGUCCAGAGUCCCAUCUUUCUACAGAAAAAUACAAAGAAAAGUACGAAGGAACCAACGCUGAUGCACCAGUCAGUAAAGAUGCGGCGACGACCAAAAAAAAAAAAAAAAAAAGAAACGAAAUGCGUCCACAAGAACCGCAAUACUGCGCGCGAAACAAGUGUGAAGCGACUGCUCACUGCCAUCCUCGCAGUCUCGCCGGCAGUCAUCAACACUGAAAUGUUACCAGCGCACGACAGAUGACAACAAUGGCUGGAGAGAGGGCGAUGAUGCAGACCGACAGGCAGCCUGCAAAUCUCCAAAGAAGUCAGGCCGGUCGAUCAGCGUCACCGGAUGUGAUGCCUCAUAUUGGGCCUUUUGUCAGCUCCUGGCGAGCACAGAUAGCUGUGGAACGGGCUGAUCUCGCUCUUGCCUGCAUUACCCGGCUGGUGUGGCCCUUUCUCUGCGCCUCCCACCAUCUUUUUCUUUUUUUUCCCUUUGCCGAAGACAAGACGCGAGGAAUUUGCGGAAGGGGCGUGAGCUUGCAGGACACGACAAUGCCUGCUGACCUUUGCGACAGCCACGAGUAGUACUGGAAGGAGUCCGAUUUCGUUCCUACUCUUUCUGCCGUAACCACAAUCGGAGGAACCUCGAAAGUGUUACUCAUGCGUAUAGGAAGAAGACUAAAAAGAGAAAGACACCCGCUGCGAAGACGACCGACGGACGAUCCACGCUUGGAGCGCAAAUUUGGCGCGCACAAAAGGAAGCAGGCGCAUGCAAAAAGAAGCCCGUUGCCUCAAGCGGGAGUAUUUCAAGACCUCCCAUACGGCGUAAGCAUUUUGCGAAACCGCACGAAAAGCAGAUUAUCUGCUGCCUAGCGGCGGAGGAGAGCGUAAGUUGUUUUGUGUUGGUAUGGCUUUUUUUUUUUUCGCGAGGUGGUCGGCAAGUGAGUCUCGAGGAAGAGAACGGAGCGUUGCCGCAUGGGAAGGGAUCGUAAUGCGUUGCCAUUGUUUCCCUUUUGCAGGCGGCUAACAAGACUUAGGCUCUGAAAGACCCACGUGGCCAAUUACGCGAGCGCGCCACGCCAGCCGGCCAUCUGGUCUGGCCCUCUGUGCCUUUUCUCUUCUCGUGGCCGGCCCGGCGGAUGAGGCCCAACGGCGUCUUGCGUGGCGCUUUGGAGAGCGGGCUAUGACAAACGCCGUUUUGUGUCGCCGAGAGGACCUUGUCGAAGAAAGCUCAUUGAGAGGAAUGCAAAUGUGUCGAAAGGAAGUGAGGCCUUUUUGAGUCCAACUCAAACAGUGAUGUUAAAAGGGGAGGCUGAACGACCGACAGAAUAAGCCGAGCUUGAAUGCUUAAGAGAGGAUGUAAUACGGAUUUUUUUUUCUCAUGGGAGUGUGCAGAUAAUCGUGCCUCUAAGUGGUGCCGCGAUCUCUUUUCGUGAUUGGGGAAACAUAGAAGUAAAGUGAUCGCAGUGGUGUGCAUUACUCACAAUUGGCCUGCCGUAUACCGGAAUUUCGGUAUACCGGUAUACUAAAUUUCGGUAUGGAAGCCAUUUCAAUCUUAAAAGAGAAGACGCACGUUGCCAGUUUACGUGCAAUUCAUCGCGCGACGCGUGGGAGAGACAGCCGGCCAGGCUUGCCGUAUCAACGACGAUUCAGGACUCGUGGCGUACGAAAAAGCGAGCGGGAUGUGUACGCUCCGUCCAAAUCCGAAGCUCCUGCAUGCACGCCCGGGAGACUUCAGAUCAUCGCCAAAAAGGACACACAAAAUAAAUCGUGUCUGCACAAUGCA